This 75-nucleotide transfer RNA is filed under the name Synechococcus sp. WH 8020. Its description in RNAcentral is "tRNA-Thr". It matches the Rfam family "tRNA". From Rfam's summary of the family: Transfer RNA (tRNA) molecules are approximately 80 nucleotides in length. Their secondary structure includes four short double-helical elements and three loops (D, anti-codon, and T loops). The record is from RNAcentral. Lineage: Bacteria; Bacillati; Cyanobacteriota; Cyanophyceae; Synechococcales; Synechococcaceae. RNAcentral also lists the same sequence under 6 other names.
GCCGGCUUAGCUCAGUGGUAGAGCAGCGCUUUUGUAAAGCGAAGGUCAUCGGUUCAAAUCCGUUAGCCGGCUUCA